Molecule: ribosomal RNA, 1539 nt
Filed under: Staphylococcus aureus T74141
Lineage: Bacteria; Bacillati; Bacillota; Bacilli; Caryophanales; Staphylococcaceae
Description: bacterial LSU rRNA
Rfam family: Bacterial large subunit ribosomal RNA
Source: RNAcentral
GUCCUAAGCUGAGGCCGACAGGCGUAGGCGAUGGAUAACAGGUUGAUAUUCCUGUACCACCUAUAAUCGUUUUAAUCGAUGGGGGGACGCAGUAGAAUAGGCGAAGCGUGCGAUUGGAUUGCACGUCUAAGCAGUAAGGCUGAGUAUUAGGCAAAUCCGGUACUCGUUAAGGCUGAGCUGUGAUGGGGAGAAGACAUUGUGUCUUCGAGUCGUUGAUUUCACACUGCCGAGAAAAGCCUCUAGAUAGAAAAUAGGUGCCCGUACCGUAAACCGACACAGGUAGUCAAGAUGAGAAUUCUAAGGUGAGCGAGCGAACUCUCGUUAAGGAACUCGGCAAAAUGACCCCGUAACUUCGGGAGAAGGGGUGCUCUUUAGGGUUAACGCCCAGAAGAGCCGCAGUGAAUAGGCCCAAGCGACUGUUUAUCAAAAACACAGGUCUCUGCUAAACCGUAAGGUGAUGUAUAGGGGCUGACGCCUGCCCGGUGCUGGAAGGUUAAGAGGAGUGGUUAGCUUCUGCGAAGCUACGAAUCGAAGCCCCAGUAAACGGCGGCCGUAACUAUAACGGUCCUAAGGUAGCGAAAUUCCUUGUCGGGUAAGUUCCGACCCGCACGAAAGGCGUAACGAUUUGGGCACUGUCUCAACGAGAGACUCGGUGAAAUCAUAGUACCUGUGAAGAUGCAGGUUACCCGCGACAGGACGGAAAGACCCCGUGGAGCUUUACUGUAGCCUGAUAUUGAAAUUCGGCACAGCUUGUACAGGAUAGGUAGGAGCCUUUGAAACGUGAGCGCUAGCUUACGUGGAGGCGCUGGUGGGAUACUACCCUAGCUGUGUUGGCUUUCUAACCCGCACCACUUAUCGUGGUGGGAGACAGUGUCAGGCGGGCAGUUUGACUGGGGCGGUCGCCUCCUAAAAGGUAACGGAGGCGCUCAAAGGUUCCCUCAGAAUGGUUGGAAAUCAUUCAUAGAGUGUAAAGGCAUAAGGGAGCUUGACUGCGAGACCUACAAGUCGAGCAGGGUCGAAAGACGGACUUAGUGAUCCGGUGGUUCCGCAUGGAAGGGCCAUCGCUCAACGGAUAAAAGCUACCCCGGGGAUAACAGGCUUAUCUCCCCCAAGAGUUCACAUCGACGGGGAGGUUUGGCACCUCGAUGUCGGCUCAUCGCAUCCUGGGGCUGUAGUCGGUCCCAAGGGUUGGGCUGUUCGCCCAUUAAAGCGGUACGCGAGCUGGGUUCAGAACGUCGUGAGACAGUUCGGUCCCUAUCCGUCGUGGGCGUAGGAAAUUUGAGAGGAGCUGUCCUUAGUACGAGAGGACCGGGAUGGACAUACCUCUGGUGUACCAGUUGUCGUGCCAACGGCAUAGCUGGGUAGCUAUGUGUGGACGGGAUAAGUGCUGAAAGCAUCUAAGCAUGAAGCCCCCCUCAAGAUGAGAUUUCCCAACUUCGGUUAUAAGAUCCCUCAAAGAUGAUGAGGUUAAUAGGUUCGAGGUGGAAGCAUGGUGACAUGUGGAGCUGACGAAUACUAAUCGAUCGAAGACUUAAUCAA